Cavia porcellus (domestic guinea pig) is the source of this 1784-nucleotide long non-coding RNA. RefSeq lists it as uncharacterized. Lineage: Eukaryota; Metazoa; Chordata; Mammalia; Rodentia; Caviidae. The transcript is spliced from 2 exons. The record is from RefSeq and is a predicted model, not a curated record.
UCCCCGGGGAGGAGGCGAGGCCCAGGGCCAGGGCCUGGUCCAGCUUGCUGUGUCGGGUUCUGAGAUGUGGGGGCAGAGCCCCACUGCGGGUAGCAGCUCUGCCGGGGAUCUCAGAUGGGGUGUGGGUGACAGAAGCCAGGCCGGGUGGGACACGGGGAAAGCAAGGCGGGACGCAGACAGACAGGAGGAUGGACCAUGGGGAAGAGGCCAGGCCACAGGGACACUGGGGACAGGAGGAGGGCCACCACCAUGCGAUGAGGAGGCUCUCGGGACCGCGAUGCUGACAUCGGCUCACAGCUGGAGGGAGGGAGGCCAGCAGGUAAACUGGGGCGUCGUCCCUCACUUUUCAAUGCUGGGGUGCAACGGGAAAUCACCCGGCCUUGGCACUGGCCACCAGGCGGAAAGGCCCAGGGUGUCUCUUGUCAUGCUGCACCCAGCUCUGCAUCUUCUGGGCUCCUGCUGCAGGCCCAGCCCAGGGGGCCCGCUGUGUCCCCGCCCCUGAGUGGGACCGCUGUAGGUGACCGCCUGAUGGGGAUGGAGGCGGUGAGGCCCUGAUACCUGCUCCCCAGGAUGGGGCAGGGAGGGGUCCCCCUUCUGUCUCCUGAGUCAGCAGCCUCCCUCUGAUGGCGCCCAGGCUUUCCUCCUGGCUCAAGUCAACCCUGGCUACAGAUGCGGACUGUGGUCAGGCCGAGGGAGGGGACUACCCCUCCCCCACUACACCCCACCCAGGGCCUCAAGGGAACCUGCUUCACGGGAGCGAAAAAGAGGAGAGAGCUCAAGGUGGCACUCGGCGUGUGCCCAGCACUGCUGGCUGCCGUGACAGAACGGCAGAGCAGGGCUCAAGCCCAAGUGGCAGAGGCCUCUGGCCUGAAGCCUGCGGUCCAGUCUGGUCAGAUGUGCAAUGCCUCCAGGCCUCCACGUCCUCCUGUAAAUGACCCACACGCUGAUCAGGAGGGAGGGGGAGGCAGCACAGAGCGCAUCACGGGAGUGCGGCUGGGGAGACUGAGUGAGGAUGGCCAAGGGUCACUGCAGCCCACACCACCUACUGCCCGCCAGAAUCAGGGACCACGAGGCCGUAUGGGUACCAGCCCUGUGCCGGCACAGAGGUGUGGGAAGCGGGGCUGGCCAGCUGAUCGUCAUAAUCACAUGACAGCCGAAGCCCGCCCUGGGGUCCCUCGAUGACCCCUGGAUGCAGCCCCUGCCAGAGGCGAGACCCAGCAUCUGUCACAAGUCAGGCCAAUGGGGCUAGGCGGUUGAGGGGGGACAGCCACAGCUCCAGAUCUGCGCUUGUGUGGUCCUCGGGGAGCCAUGGCCACCCUCCAGCCUCUCCAGGUCCAUCUCCCCCACAGGCUCCACUUAGAUAACUGAAGCAUCUGUGUCCCCAGAGCCACUCCCAGGGCCAGUGGGGACCCCGACUCAAACAGGCGCCCCGGGAAUCUGCUGCUGCUGGUGUGAGCGCUAGUCCACGUGCUUGGGAAAGCGCCGAGGAAAUUCCACCCCUGGGGACCUGUGAGUGCCUCUCCCGCCACGAAAGAAGAAGCAGAAGAAGCAGAAGAAGCACAGAAGGAGCCGCGGAGAGCGGACCGGUAGAGGCUUCGGGACAGACUGUAGGAAGAAGCACGCAAGGAGCCGCGGAGAGCGGACCGGUAGAGGCUUCGGGACAGACUGUAGGGAGAAGCACGCAAGGAGCCGCGGGGAGCGGACCAACAGAGGCUUCGGCCGGGAGGAUUCCCGGGGCAGGCUGUACGGAGAAGGAAAAUAAAAGAAAAGGUUGUCCACUGCCA